RNAcentral lists this ribosomal RNA (506 nucleotides) under uncultured bacterium. RNAcentral's name for it is "partial 16S ribosomal RNA". It matches the Rfam family "Bacterial small subunit ribosomal RNA", at positions 29 to 523 of the family's 1533-position model. The record is from RNAcentral.
AGUGAACGCUGGCGGUAGGCCUAACACAUGCAAGUCAAACGGCAGCACAGAGGAGCUUGCUCCUUGGGUGGCGAGUGGCGGACGGGUGAGGAAUACAUCGGAAUCUACUCUGUCGUGGGUGAUCACGUAGGGAAACUUACGCUAAUACCGCAUACGACCUACGGGUGAAAGCAGGGGAUCUUCGGACCUUGCGCGAUUGAAUGAGCCGAUGUCGGAUUAGCUAGUUGGCGGGGUAAAGGCCCACCAAGGCGACGAUCCGUAGCUGGUCUGGGAGGAUGAUCAGCCACACUGGAACUGAGACACGGUCCAGACUCCUACGGGAGGCAGCAGUGGGGAAUAUUGGACAAUGGGCGCAAGCCUGAUCCAGCCAUACCGCGUGGGUGAAGAAGGCCUUCGGGUUGUAAAGCCCUUUUGUUGGGAAAGAAAUCCAGCUGGCUAAUACCCGGUUGGGAUGACGGUACCCAAAGAAUAAGCACCGGCUAACUUCGUGCCAGCCGCCGCCGUAA